Molecule: long non-coding RNA, 818 nt
Organism: Sinocyclocheilus grahami
Lineage: Eukaryota; Metazoa; Chordata; Actinopteri; Cypriniformes; Cyprinidae
Source: Ensembl
GUGGUCAUAAUGAACUGCCCUUGUGUAGAAAAUGUUAUAAUCGUUGUUACUUUUUCCCUUUUGUGUUUUAUGUGGAAAUAGUAAUACCAUAUGCAACAGCAUGAGGGUGAUUAAAUUAUGGCAGAAUGUACAUUUUAAAGCGAUCUAAUAGAUUUUUCAGAGCAAAAUGCAAGUGGGUACAAUCCUCCAGAACUUGUUGCAGAGAAACCCAUCCAGGAAGGCAUAGGAUCUGCAGAAAAAGAUGAAUGUCCACAAAAUCAAGUGUUUUAUGUUUCGUCAAAUGUUGUAACCAUAUUACCAUCAUGUAAGUAAUAUUGCCUACCAAGACAUAAGUUUACAAUAUUUUUUGUUAAUUAGUAUUAAAGUGGAUAUAUUCUUUAAAUGCAUGAAAUAAUAUGAUUUUUUUUUCCAAUCUCAACUUUAUUAAAUAUAGUAUAUAUUCCGCGCCUACCAUAUGUGGAUGAAUCGCAAAUCCAUUACAAAGAAGAGAACCUGCUGGGGGAAGGUGCAUUUGGAAGAGUGUAUAGAGGCUACUUUCAGGGCACCCCUGCUGCCAUUAAAAAAUUCUCAAUGGCACCGCAGGACUUCCAGACCAAGAUAUCCAGCACGAGAUUCUGGUCUCACUCCGACUGAGCCAUCCCAAUAUUGUUCGACUCAUGGCUGCAGCCCGCACUGACAACGCCUUCCUGCUGGCCAAUGAGUAUAUACAUGGCACAACCCUGGAGGAUGCACUACACAAUGACCAUUCUUCUGUUAAGGUAAAAAAAAAAAUCAUACUUUUCAUGUAACAUUUGUGAAAAAUUGUCUUAACAUUUAAU